ACGUAGGGAGCCAGCGUUGUCCGGAUUUACUGGGCGUAAAGAGCGCGUAGGCGGUUUGGUAAGCGGAGGGUGAAAUCCCGGGGCUCAACUCCGGAACUGUUCUCCGAACUGUCAGACUAGAGUACGGGAGAGGGCAGUGGAAUUCCUGGUGUAGCGGUGGAAUGCGUAAAUAUCAGGAGGAACACCGGUGGCGAAGGCUGCUGCCUGGAACGUAACUGACGCUGAGGCGCGAAAGCUAGGGGAGCGAACGG
This 251-nucleotide ribosomal RNA is filed under the name uncultured prokaryote. RNAcentral describes it as "partial 16S rRNA". It matches the Rfam family "Bacterial small subunit ribosomal RNA", at positions 525 to 775 of the family's 1533-position model. The record is from RNAcentral.